AGAGUUUGAUCAUGGCUCAGAUUGAACGCUGGCGGCAUGCUUUACACAUGCAAGUCGAACGGUAACAGGCCGCAAGGUGCUGACGAGUGGCGAACGGGUGAGUAAUGCAUCGGAACGUGCCCAGUCGUGGGGGAUAACGCAGCGAAAGCUGUGCUAAUACCGCAUACGAUCUAUGGAUGAAAGCGGGGGACCGUAAGGCCUCGCGCGAUUGGAGCGGCCGAUGUCAGAUUAGCUAGUUGGUGGGGUAAAGGCCCACCAAGGCGACGAUCUGUAGCUGGUCUGAGAGGACGACCAGCCACACUGGGACUGAGACACGGCCCAGACUCUUACGGGAGGCAGCAGUGGGGAAUUUUGGACAAUGGGCGCAAGCCUGAUCCAGCAAUGCCGCGUGCAGGAAGAAGGCCUUCGGGUUGUAAACUGCUUUUGUACGGAACGAAACGGUCUGGGUUAAUACCCUGGGCUAAUGACGGUACCGUAAGAAUAAGCACCGGCUAACUACGUGCCAGCAGCCGCGGUAAUACGUAGGGUGCAAGCGUUAAUCGGAAUUACUGGGCGUAAAGCGUGCGCAGGCGGUUUUGUAAGACAGUCGUGAAAUCCCCGGGCUCAACCUGGGAAUUGCGAUUGUGACUGCAAAGCUGGAGUGCGGCAGAGGGGGAUGGAAUUCCGCGUGUAGCAGUGAAAUGCGUAGAUAUGCGGAGGAACACCGAUGGCGAAGGCAAUCCCCUGGGCCUGCACUGACGCUCAUGCACGAAAGCGUGGGGAGCAAACAGGAUUAGAUACCCUGGUAGUCCACGCCCUAAACGAUGUCAACUGGUUGUUGGGUCUCUUCUGACUCAGUAACGAAGCUAACGCGUGAAGUUGACCGCCUGGGGAGUACGGCCGCAAGAUUAAAACUCAAA
Molecule: ribosomal RNA, 899 nt
Filed under: uncultured bacterium
Lineage: Bacteria
Description: bacterial SSU rRNA
Rfam family: Bacterial small subunit ribosomal RNA
Source: RNAcentral